This 301-nucleotide ribosomal RNA is filed under the name uncultured bacterium. RNAcentral's name for it is "partial 16S ribosomal RNA". It matches the Rfam family "Bacterial small subunit ribosomal RNA", at positions 509 to 808 of the family's 1533-position model. The record is from RNAcentral.
CAGUCGCGCGGUAAUACGUAGGGUGCAAGCGUUAAUCGGAAUUACUGGGCGUAAAGCGUGCGCAGGCGGUUUGUUAAGACAGAUGUGAAAUCCCCGGGCUUAACCUGGGAACUGCAUUUGUGACUGGCAAGCUAGAGUCUGGCAGAGGGGGGUGGAAUUCCGCGUGUAGCAGUGAAAUGCGUAGAUAUGCGGAGGAACACCGAUGGCGAAGGCAGCCCCCUGGGCCAACACUGACGCUCAUGCACGAAAGCGUGGGGAGCAAACAGGAUUAGAUACCCCCGUAGUCCCUGUCUCUUAUACA